This 552-nucleotide ribosomal RNA is filed under the name Salmonella enterica. RNAcentral describes it as "partial 23S ribosomal RNA". It matches the Rfam family "Bacterial large subunit ribosomal RNA", at positions 711 to 1259 of the family's 2925-position model. Lineage: Bacteria; Pseudomonadati; Pseudomonadota; Gammaproteobacteria; Enterobacterales; Enterobacteriaceae. RNAcentral also lists the same sequence under 2 other names. The record is from RNAcentral.
AGACCCGAAACCCGGUGAUCUAGCCAUGGGCAGGUUGAAGGUUGGGUAACACUAACUGGAGGACCGAACCGACUAAUGUUGAAAAAUUAGCGGAUGACCUGUGGCUGGGGGUGAAAGGCCAAUCAAACCGGGAGAUAGCUGGUUCUCCCCGAAAGCUAUUUAGGUAGCGCCUCGUGAAUUCAUCUCCGGGGGUAGAGCACUGUUUCGGCUAGGGGGCCAUCCCGGCUUACCAACCCGAUGCAAACUGCGAAUACCGGAGAAUGUUAUCACGGGAGACACACGGCGGGUGCUAACGUCCGUCGUGAAGAGGGAAACAACCCAGACCGCCAGCUAAGGUCCCAAAGUCAUGGUUAAGUGGGAAACGAUGUGGGAAGGCCCAGACAGCCAGGAUGUUGGCUUAGAAGCAGCCAUCAUUUAAAGAAAGCGUAAUAGCUCACUGGUCGAGUCGGCCUGCGCGGAAGAUGUAACGGGGCUAAACCAUGCACCGAAGCUGCGGCAGCGACGCUGAUGCGUUGUUGGGUAGGGGAGCGUUCUGUAAGCCUGCGAAGGUGG